GUCUGCCUACGGGGCGCAGCAGUGAGGGAUAUUGGUCAAUGGGGGAAACCCUGAACCAGCAACGCCGCGUGAGGGAAGACGGUUUUCGGAUUGUAAACCUCUGUCCUCUGUGAAGAUAAUGACGGUAGCAGAGGAGGAAGCUCCGGCUAACUACGUGCCAGCAGCCGCGGUAAUACGUAGGGAGCGAGCGUUGUCCGGAUUUACUGGGUGUAAAGGGUGCGUAGGCGGGUAAG
This 233-nucleotide ribosomal RNA is filed under the name uncultured bacterium. RNAcentral describes it as "partial 16S ribosomal RNA". It matches the Rfam family "Bacterial small subunit ribosomal RNA", at positions 333 to 583 of the family's 1533-position model. The record is from RNAcentral.